RNAcentral lists this ribosomal RNA (641 nucleotides) under Escherichia coli. RNAcentral describes it as "partial 23S ribosomal RNA". It matches the Rfam family "Bacterial large subunit ribosomal RNA", at positions 2259 to 2894 of the family's 2925-position model. The record is from RNAcentral. Lineage: Bacteria; Pseudomonadati; Pseudomonadota; Gammaproteobacteria; Enterobacterales; Enterobacteriaceae.
UGGUGGGUAGUUUGACUGGGGCGGUCUCCUCCUAAAGAGUAACGGAGGAGCACGAAGGUUGGCUAAUCCUGGUCGGACAUCAGGAGGUUAGUGCAAUGGCAUAAGCCAGCUUGACUGCGAGCGUGACGGCGCGAGCAGGUGCGAAAGCAGGUCAUAGUGAUCCGGUGGUUCUGAAUGGAAGGGCCAUCGCUCAACGGAUAAAAGGUACUCCGGGGAUAACAGGCUGAUACCGCCCAAGAGUUCAUAUCGACGGCGGUGUUUGGCACCUCGAUGUCGGCUCAUCACAUCCUGGGGCUGAAGUAGGUCCCAAGGGUAUGGCUGUUCGCCAUUUAAAGUGGUACGCGAGCUGGGUUUAGAACGUCGUGAGACAGUUCGGUCCCUAUCUGCCGUGGGCGCUGGAGAACUGAGGGGGGCUGCUCCUAGUACGAGAGGACCGGAGUGGACGCAUCACUGGUGUUCGGGUUGUCAUGCCAAUGGCACUGCCCGGUAGCUAAAUGCGGAAGAGAUAAGUGCUGAAAGCAUCUAAGCACGAAACUUGCCCCGAGAUGAGUUCUCCCUGACUCCUUGAGAGUCCUGAAGGAACGUUGAAGACGACGACGUUGAUAGGCCGGGUGUGUAAGCGCAGCGAUGCGUUGAGCUAA